Molecule: non-coding RNA, 934 nt
Organism: Arvicanthis niloticus (Nile rat)
Lineage: Eukaryota; Metazoa; Chordata; Mammalia; Rodentia; Muridae
Source: RefSeq, a predicted model, not a curated record
GGAGACCACCUCCUCUGCACCCAGCCCCUGCAGUAAUGAGGCGAUGGGGUGAUGACGUGCUGCCUGCGUAGCAAGCGGAAGAACCCCCACCUGCUGAAGUCAUCUCUGCUGAGUCAUUUCCGGGGAAGUGACUUUGGGAAUCCGGCUGCUCGCGUGAGAGUCUUGCCUUCCAGUUUCUGUCUUCGGGCGCCACCUAGUGACAUCAUUCGGAAAACUUUCUGCUCCUCCUACCUCCUGGUUUUCCUCAUUUGCCUCAUACCCCGUAGCUCCCAGUGCAAGACACCCCUCUUUCCAGUCUCCUCUAUGAUUUCCUCACUGUGACCUUUUCCCUGAGCAUCCUCGUGAAGAAGCAUCAUCUUGUUAACUUCAUGGACUUCUCGGAGUUCUCUAAGGACUGGCCUUUGGAUAUCUCCAGGUGCUCUGGACCCCAGGCACCACUGUGAUGCCCACCUGACAGUUGAGAGGGGCCAGAAGACAUCCAGUAACUUGCUGAAGAUCCGAGUUCUGAAGCGGGAGAGGCAAGUUUGGCUCUACACUAGCACCCUGAACCACAUAUGAAAUACUUGUAUGGAUUUUAAGAUGGAUGCUUGUUAAGGUGGAUGCUUGUCCAACCCAGCAUCCAGGUGUACAUGGAAAGUAUUUCCUUGUUUCUAAUUCCCGUCAUAGUGAUUCUGUGUUGAAAGCUGAACAAAACCUGACAGUAUAAAUCAAUAAUUGUCUAUCAAAGGUGCUUUGAUCAGUUUCUGGAGACAGUCUUGAUUGACAAGAAUAUGAGGCUCAAGAGGACACUAGCACCGAGUACUGGAGAGAUAAAGAUUCUGCAAAAAUGAUUCACAGCUAGCAAAAAAAACCUUGAGAAAUGGAGUUGCAAUGGUUUUCAAGCUAUCACUCCCUGAAACAAGGCGAAGAGCUCUCCCCCCUCCCCCCCCACCCC